RNAcentral lists this transfer RNA (74 nucleotides) under Planctomycetota bacterium. Its description in RNAcentral is "tRNA-Thr". It matches the Rfam family "tRNA". Rfam says of the family: Transfer RNA (tRNA) molecules are approximately 80 nucleotides in length. Their secondary structure includes four short double-helical elements and three loops (D, anti-codon, and T loops). Lineage: Bacteria; Pseudomonadati; Planctomycetota. The record is from RNAcentral.
GCCGUCAUCGUCCAAGGGCAGGGCCCGCGCCCCGUAAGCGCGAGAUGCCGGUUCAAAUCCGGCUGACGGCUCCA